CCUUACGGUAUACAAAAGCGAGGACUGUAYGCCCUCGCACUCGGAAUCCCCUUAUCGCACUGUCGUGCAGUGUAHAGG
This 78-nucleotide ribosomal RNA is filed under the name unidentified archaeon H6-B1. RNAcentral describes it as "partial 16S ribosomal RNA". The record is from RNAcentral.